UGUUCGCAUCAAUUUAGAGUGCCAGCAUGUCCUUUUUUAUUCAAAAUAUUGAAUCGUAAACAAAAUUCAGUAGUUUUCAUACCUCAGACUGACUCAUAUAAUAAAAAUAUUUGUCCGCAACAACCAAAACUGACCAUAUAAGCAUUCUAGUAUGUAAAUCUAUAUAGCUGCAUAGUAAAUGAGUUAUAUUUUCAAGUAAGGAUUGAUUGUAUAAUAAAAAAGGUAGAUAUAUUUGAAUAUUAUGAUUAAAAAAAUUUUGUUCCCAUCAAUUUAGAGUGCCAGCAUGUCCUUUUUUAUUUAAAAUAUUGAAUCGUAAACAAAAUUCAGUAGUUUUCAUACCUCAGACUGACUCAUAUAAUAAAAUUAUUUGUCCGCAACAACCAAAACUGACCAUAUAAGCAUUUUAUUAUGUAAAUCUAUAUAGCCGCAUAGUAAAUGAGUUAUAUUUUCAUGUAAGGAUUGAUUGUAUAAGAAAAU
RNAcentral lists this long non-coding RNA (477 nucleotides) under Mytilus galloprovincialis (Mediterranean mussel). Lineage: Eukaryota; Metazoa; Mollusca; Bivalvia; Mytilida; Mytilidae. The record is from RNAcentral.